This is an RNA transcript of Homo sapiens (human), 2253 nucleotides long. It is a transcript of the gene named POTE ankyrin domain family member G, with no coding region annotated. The transcript has 12 exons. The record is from RefSeq and is marked validated. NCBI's taxonomy places the organism in Eukaryota, Metazoa, Chordata, Mammalia, Primates, Hominidae.
GGUAGACGCGAUCUGCUGGCUACUACCGGCCUCCCCUGGCUGUUAAAAGCAGAUGGUGGCUGAGGCUGGUUCAAUGCCGGCUGCCUCCUCUGUGAAGAAGCCAUUUGGUCUCAGAAGCAAGAUGGGCAAGUGGUGCCGCCACUGCUUCCCCUGGUGCAGGGGGAGCGGCAAGAGCAACGUGGGCACUUCUGGAGACCACGACGAUUCUGCUAUGAAGACACUCAGGAGCAAGAUGGGCAAGUGGUGCCGCCACUGCUUCCCCUGGUGCAGGGGGAGCAGCAAGAGCAACGUGGGCACUUCUGGAGACCACGACGACUCUGCUAUGAAGACACUCAGGAGCAAGAUGGGCAAGUGGUGCUGCCACUGCUUCCCCUGCUGCAGGGGGAGCGGCAAGAGCAAAGUGGGCCCUUGGGGAGACUACGACGACAGCGCUUUCAUGGAGCCGAGGUACCACGUCCGUCGAGAAGAUCUGGACAAGCUCCACAGAGCUGCCUGGUGGGGUAAAGUCCCCAGAAAGGAUCUCAUCGUCAUGCUCAAGGACACUGACAUGAACAAGAAGGACAAGCAAAAGAGGACUGCUCUACAUCUGGCCUCUGCCAAUGGAAAUUCAGAAGUAGUAAAACUCCUGCUGGACAGACGAUGUCAACUUAAUAUCCUUGACAACAAAAAGAGGACAGCUCUGACAAAGGCCGUACAAUGCCGGGAAGAUGAAUGUGCGUUAAUGUUGCUGGAACAUGGCACUGAUCCGAAUAUUCCAGAUGAGUAUGGAAAUACCGCUCUACACUAUGCUAUCUACAAUGAAGAUAAAUUAAUGGCCAAAGCACUGCUCUUAUACGGUGCUGAUAUCGAAUCAAAAAACAAGCAUGGCCUCACACCACUGUUACUUGGUGUACAUGAGCAAAAACAGCAAGUGGUGAAAUUCUUAAUCAAGAAAAAAGCAAAUUUAAAUGCACUGGAUAGAUAUGGAAGAACUGCUCUCAUACUUGCUGUAUGUUGUGGAUCGGCAAGUAUAGUCAGCCUUCUACUUGAGCAAAACAUUGAUGUAUCUUCUCAAGAUCUAUCUGGACAGACGGCCAGAGAGUAUGCUGUUUCUAGUCAUCAUAAUGUAAUUUGCCAGUUACUUUCUGACUACAAAGAAAAACAGAUGCUAAAAGUCUCUUCUGAAAACAGCAAUCCAGAACAAGACUUAAAGCUGACAUCAGAGGAAGAGUCACAAAGGCUUAAAGGAAGUGAAAAUAGCCAGCCAGAGGAAAUGUCUCAAGAACCAGAAAUAAAUAAGGGUGGUGAUAGAAAGGUUGAAGAAGAAAUGAAGAAGCACGGAAGUACUCAUAUGGGAUUCCCAGAAAACCUGCCUAACGGUGCCACUGCUGACAAUGGUGAUGAUGGAUUAAUUCCACCAAGGAAAAGCAGAACACCUGAAAGCCAGCAAUUUCCUGACACUGAGAAUGAACAGUAUCACAGGGACUUUUCUGGCCAUCCCAACUUUCCCACGACCCUUCCCAUCAAACAGUGAUGAACAAAAUGAUACUCAGAAGCAACUUUCUGAAGAACAGAACACUGGAAUAUUACAAGAUGAGAUUCUGAUUCAUGAAGAAAAGCAGAUAGAAGUGGCUGAAAAUGAAUUCUGAGCUUUCUCUUAGUUAUAAGAAAGAAAAAGACCUCUUGCAUGAAAAUAGUACGUUGCAGGAAGAAAUUGUCAUGCUAAGACUGGAACUAGACGUAAUGAAACAUCAGAGCCAGCUAAGAGAAAAGAAAUAUUUGGAGGAAAUUGAAAGUGUGGAAAAAAAGAAUGAUAAUCUUUUAAAGGGUCUACAACUGAAUGAGCUCACCAUGGAUGAUGAUACUGCCGUGCUCGUCAUUGACAACGGCUCUGGCAUGUGCAAGGCCGGCUUUGCAGGUGACGAUGCCCCCCGGGCUGUCUUCCCUUCCAUCGUGGGGUGCCCCAGGCACCAGAACAUGAUGGGGGGCAUGCGUCAGAUGGAGUCCUAUGUGGGCAAUGAGGCCCAGAGCAAGAGAGGCAUCCUGACCCUGAAGUACCCCAUGGAGCACGGCAUCAUCACCAACUGGGACGACAUGGAGAAGAUCUGGCACCACACCUUCUACAAUGAGCUGCGUGUGGCUCCCGAGGAGCACCCCAUCCUGCUGACCGAGGCACCCCUGAACCCCAAGGCCAACCGUGAGAAGAUGACCCGGAUCAUGUUUGAGACCUUCAACACCCCAGCCAUGUACGUGGCCAUCCAAGCCGUGCUGUCC